UACGAGAGGCCCAAACGUUAUUCGGAUUUACUGGGCUUAAAGAGUUCGUAGGCGGCGCAGAAAGUAGGGUGUGAAAGCCCUCGGCUCAACCGAGGAAUUGCGCCCUAAACUACUGUGCUUGAGGGACCUAGAGGUGAGCAGAACGGAUGGUGGAGCGGUGAAAUGCGUUGAUAUCAUCUGGAAUACCGGAGGCGAAGGCGGCUCACUGGGGGUCUUCUGACGCUGAGGAACGAAAGCCAGGGGAGCGAACGGG
Molecule: ribosomal RNA, 253 nt
Filed under: uncultured bacterium
Lineage: Bacteria
Description: partial 16S ribosomal RNA
Rfam family: Bacterial small subunit ribosomal RNA
Source: RNAcentral